AGCGAACGCUGGCGGCAGGCCUAACACAUGCAAGUCGAACGAACUCUUCGGAGUUAGUGGCGGACGGGUGAGUAACACGUGGGAACGUGCCUUUAGGUUCGGAAUAACUCAGGGAAACUUGUGCUAAUACCGAAUGUGCCCUUCGGGGGAAAGAUUUAUCGCCUUUAGAGCGGCCCGCGUCUGAUUAGCUAGUUGGUGAGGUAAAGGCUCACCAAGGCGACGAUCAGUAGCUGGUCUGAGAGGAUGAUCAGCCACAUUGGGACUGAGACACGGCCCAAACUCCUACGGGAAGCAGCUGUGGGGAAUCUUGCGCAAUGGGCGAAAGCCUGACGCAGCCAUGCCGCGUGAAUGAUGAAGGUCUUAGGAUUGUAAAAUUCUUUCACCGGGGACGAUAAUGACGGUACCCGGAGAAGAAGCCCCGGCUAACUUCGUG
Molecule: ribosomal RNA, 433 nt
Filed under: uncultured bacterium
Lineage: Bacteria
Description: partial 16S ribosomal RNA
Rfam family: Bacterial small subunit ribosomal RNA
Source: RNAcentral